Molecule: long non-coding RNA, 1617 nt
Filed under: Apis mellifera (honey bee)
Lineage: Eukaryota; Metazoa; Arthropoda; Insecta; Hymenoptera; Apidae
Description: uncharacterized LOC102654135
Source: RNAcentral
AUUGUACUCAACAGGUAAAAAUAUUCUAACGAAACUGCAAUAAUUUUUUUUCACGACAUUUAACAUACAUGGAAAACAAACAUUCUUAUUCUGCAUAAUGACUGAUGCUUUCAAUUGAUUCGCUCCAGCACGGUGCAAUUACGUGCUUAGGCGGUAAAAGUUUAUAACAGAGCAUUACUUUGUACUCCCACCAAACAAACGACAAUUAAUCAUUGGCGCGAACGAAUUCAUUACAUAACCUAGCACAGUAUUUAUUUAUCGUAAACUCUGGAUUAGUCACGAGCGCACAGCGGUUGGGGACACAAAAAAUUUUAUCUUUAUUGACUCCGGCUAUAUACAAGGAUAGAUAGAGAGAAGAACGAAGAGGGAUUGAGAAUCCAAACACUUGAAGAAAUUUAAAGGUCAAUGUUUUGCUAUGAAUUUAGUUUGACUCGACUGGUUCUUAGAAGGUUUCCCUAUAGUAUCUUGUAUAUAUAUUCCACGAGAAGAGCUCGAGCAUAUAGCAAUAUGAAUAAAUAUGUUGAAAACGGAUUUAAAAAAAAGAAAAAAGGAACAUUCCCUUUCACUGGUUUCAUUUGCACCUUUCGUCGUCUUGGUUUGCCUUAUACUGGAAUUCUUUUACGAUAAUGGGAAUUAAACUGCGAGGAAUGAAAGAGAGGGGAAACGUCAGUAUGGUCAUUACGCGAAAUUAAUUCUGUCACCGGUCAUUUAAUGAUCUCUAACACGGUUAAUUUAUGACGAAGAGCCGUCAUUAUAGUUUAAUUCGAUAAAUAUGUUUAUUACGAUACGUUUCUGAGAAUUUAUUACAAAUGAUGAUAAAGGUUGAAUUUAAAUAAUUUUACAUCAAUUUUUUUUUUUUAUCUUUUUUAAAAGUUCAAAUCCAUUACGUUAUGAAAUAUAUCAACAGGUUUUAUACAUCAGUAAAAAAAAUUAAAAGAAAAAUGUUGGUUCGAUAUCAUUUCAAAACUACCGCCAAAAUGAAAUAAAUAAUUCAACCAGUCUUUGACUAUCAUUCAUAUACCAUAUUGUUUAAUUCAACAUAAUAUAUGGAAGAAUAGCAGUUUAAAAAUUAUAAUAAUCGUGAAAUUAAAAAAAAAAUUUAUAAGAAUUAACAAUAAGCGAACGAAUUGAUACAAACAUGCUUUUUAUACCGCAUAAAUUUACGACCUUCGAAUUAUGUUCAAAUUAUAUCAUACUAAAAAAUUGAAAAAUCUAAAAAAACAUGCUUCCGUUUAAAUUUAAUAAUUCGUCAAGUAUAAAGAAAGAAAUGAACAGACGAAUCUCUCUCAAUAAAAUUAUUAUAUACGAAUGGUUGCAGUAGGCCAAAGAACCGAAGUAUGUAUAAUAUUUAUUCGUCAUUCGCUCAAGCACUUCUUGCGUACAUAGUAUGUUCGAGAGUCAUCCCCACCACUGGAAUCCUCUUGGACCCAGUGAAGCGAGAAUAAUUUCACAUCGAAGCAAUACAACAUAAUAUUUCUUGAAAAAAACUUCAACGCUCACUCUCUCCCUCACUUCUCGUUCUGUCAUUUUCUACUCGUCGACAAAAAUAAAAUAAACUAAAGAAUUUCACCCGCUUCUUGCACAUAUAGAAUCUAUUCUAUUUAAUACAAAUACGAA